RNAcentral lists this transfer RNA (77 nucleotides) under Candidatus Eiseniibacteriota bacterium. Its description in RNAcentral is "tRNA-Ala". It matches the Rfam family "tRNA". Rfam says of the family: Transfer RNA (tRNA) molecules are approximately 80 nucleotides in length. Their secondary structure includes four short double-helical elements and three loops (D, anti-codon, and T loops). The record is from RNAcentral. Lineage: Bacteria; Candidatus Eiseniibacteriota.
GGGGAUGUAGCUCAGUUUGGGAGAGCGCCUCGUUCGCAACGAGGAGGUCGGCGGUUCGAUCCCGCUCAUCUCCACCA